GCGGACGGGUGAGUAACACGUGGGUAACCUACCCAUCAGAGACUCUACCUACUUGGAAACAGGUGCUAAUACCGCAUAAUAGUCGACACCGCAUGGUGUUGAUUUGAAAGACGCUUUCGGGUGUCACUGAUGGAUGGACCCGCGGUGCAUUAGCUAGUUGGUGAGGUAACGGCUCACCAAGGCCAUGAUGCAUAGGCAAU
Molecule: ribosomal RNA, 200 nt
Filed under: uncultured Enterococcus sp.
Lineage: Bacteria; Bacillati; Bacillota; Bacilli; Lactobacillales; Enterococcaceae
Description: partial 16S ribosomal RNA
Rfam family: Bacterial small subunit ribosomal RNA
Source: RNAcentral